CAUAUUUUUAAAAACAAUUUUUCUAAAUGGAAACAUUAAAUAAUACAAAAAUUAUCACCAUUUUUCCAAUGAUCCAGUCAUAAUAAUUUCAAUAUCUGCAUAUAGAGAUGCAUAUACAAAACAGUUAUUCUUUUGACCAACCUGAUUAUACAUGAUUAUAGAUGAUAGGAAAUAUGUUCCAAUAAUCUGCUUGUUUCAUUAGAUAUAUUAUUCAAUGAACUUCUCAAAAUAUUUUCCUUUUUAUUAUAUUUUAUCAUUCUCUGAAGAUGGUGUUUUAACAUGUCGAAUCGUGCACAUACUUGAAAGUGAACAGGAAUAUAAGGGACGAAGUACAAUGGUACCUACAUAUACCCAGGAUAUUUCGCCCUCUAAAAUAUGAAG
Long non-coding RNA from Pogonomyrmex barbatus (red harvester ant), 381 nucleotides. NCBI's taxonomy places the organism in Eukaryota, Metazoa, Arthropoda, Insecta, Hymenoptera, Formicidae. The record is from RefSeq and is a predicted model, not a curated record.